Oncorhynchus gorbuscha (pink salmon) is the source of this 662-nucleotide long non-coding RNA. RefSeq lists it as uncharacterized. The record is from RefSeq and is a predicted model, not a curated record. The transcript has 4 exons. Lineage: Eukaryota; Metazoa; Chordata; Actinopteri; Salmoniformes; Salmonidae.
UUUUCCGUCCCGCUGGUGGGUCUGCUUCCGGAAUCCUGAAACGUCAACCAUCAGUUCCAAACUAAACAAACUGCCUCCAGGAACAUAAGGAAAACAGUGAACAAAUCCAGAGUAGCGAGACCUCAGCAGCGGGGAACCCCUUUGUUGGAGGAAAGUACGAUCUGUAUGUACUCGGAGACCCAAAAACAUGCAGAGGUCACUGGCUUUACUUCCCGGGCUACCUCCUUAUGCUGUGUUGACAUAAGUGUGUGAGCCCUGCUGAAAAAUACCCCAAGGGAACGACAUUUUUGGUAUGAGGGAGGGACCACACCUUGUGGUAAUGGAACACAACAAGAUUGUAGGACAAGAACAAGCAAGGGACACUGAAAGGAGACAUGCAGUACCAGCAAAUCUUCUGCAAGAGGUCCAAACAGUUGGUGGUUGGUCUAUGAGCCCUACACCACUUCCGACAGUCUUAUCCAGCUGGCCAUACACCGCAGAUGGGUCAAAACCAUCGCCACAAACACUCGGCUUCCACAGCCCACCAUGCCAAACACCAUUGCCAGUGUACCGAAGCCGGAUAAAGGGCCAUAAAAUAAAUAUGGAUUUUUCCUCAAAAUUUGUCUGGCUUUAUAGAUUCACAGAAGAUAUUUAAACAAGCUGUACAGGGCUUUGUAGCAUCA